RNAcentral lists this unclassified non-coding RNA (382 nucleotides) under uncultured bacterium. RNAcentral's name for it is "contains 16S-23S intergenic spacer region". The record is from RNAcentral.
UCCGGCUUGUCACCGGCAGUUCCUUCAGAGUGCCCAACUAAAUGAUGGCAACUAAAGACGAGGGUUGCGCUCGUUGCGGGACUUAACCCAACAUCUCACGACACGAGCUGACGACAGCCAUGCAGCACCUGUCACCGGUCCAGCCGAACUGAAGGAAACCAUCUCUGGAAUCCGCGACCGGGAUGUCAAACGCUGGUAAGGUUCUGCGCGUUGCUUCGAAUUAAUCCACAUAAUCCACCGCUUGUGCGGGUCCCCGUCAAUUCCUUUGAGUUUUAGCCUUGCGGCCGUACUUCCCAGGCGGGGCACUUAAUGCGUUAGCUACGGCACGGAACCCGUCGAUCGAGCCCCACACCUAGUGCCCAACGUUUACGGCGUGGACUAC